AAGAAUCAAACUAGGGCUUCCCCGAAACUUCUUAUAGAGGCCUUUCCGUAGUCAACUAGCCAAGCAACUUCCAAUUUCAAGAAAAGAAUAAGGAGCUAGUGAGGAAGCGUUUCAAGAAAAGAAUAAGGAGCUAGUGAGGAAGCGGGAAGGGAAUCGAAUUAUGUGCGAAGAAAGUCCACUCAAGAAGAAGAGGUUAAGAUAUGCGAGUUUAGGCAAUCAAUAUGUUAGGAAGAAAUGCACUAGAACACAACUUCUUCGGUUGGAAAUGAAGAACAAACAGGAACUAGCGGCCCAGCCUCCCUAGAUACAGGACUAGCUAAGUAUAAGUAAGCACUAGAAUGGGGCCAGAAUACAACACUUGCCAGCGCAUUAGAUACUGGGGGAGCGGGUACGCGCAUUCAAUGAUUUUCUCGAAGUAGAGAGGUCCGGGGAAGAAUCAAGAUAAAGUACUGGCUUUGAAGCAUGGCGUCAGGGGAGCUCAACUGUUCUAGUUCAUUUAAGCCUACUAAUGGAAUUGCCAGAAGGACAAAAGAUACAAUAAACUCGGGGUCGAGAGAGACCCUUGACUAGCACUAGGCUGGGUUGCUCCUUUCUG
RNAcentral lists this long non-coding RNA (595 nucleotides) under Musa acuminata (dwarf banana). RNAcentral's name for it is "long non-coding RNA (MACU_LNC010230)". Lineage: Eukaryota; Viridiplantae; Streptophyta; Magnoliopsida; Zingiberales; Musaceae. The record is from RNAcentral.